Molecule: ribosomal RNA, 253 nt
Filed under: uncultured bacterium
Lineage: Bacteria
Description: partial 16S ribosomal RNA
Rfam family: Bacterial small subunit ribosomal RNA
Source: RNAcentral
UACGUAGGGGGCAAGCGUUGUCCGGAAUCAUUGGGCGUAAAGAGCGUGUAGGCGGCUUGGUAAGUCAGCUGUGAAAGUCCAGGGCUCAACCCUGGAAUGCCGGUGGAAACUGUCAAGCUUGAGUCCGGAAGAGGCGAGUGGAAUUCCUGGUGUAGCGGUGAAAUGCGCAGAUAUCAGGAGGAACACCAAUGGCGAAGGCAGCUCGCUGGGACGGUACUGACGCUGAGACGCGAAAGCGUGGGGAGCAAACAGG